UACGUAGGGGGCGAGCGUUGUCCGGAAUUACUGGGCGUAAAGAGAGCGUAGGCGGCACUACAAGUCUCAUGUGAAAUACCCGGGCUUAACUUGGGGGUUGCAUGGGAAAUUGUAGAGCUUGAGUACAGGAGAGGCAAGCGGAAUUCCUAGUGUAGCGGUGAAAUGCAUAGAUAUUAGGAGGAACACCAGUGGCGAAGGCGGAUGACUGGACGGCAACUGACGGUGAGGCGCGAAAGCGUGGGGAGCAAACAGG
RNAcentral lists this ribosomal RNA (253 nucleotides) under uncultured bacterium. RNAcentral describes it as "partial 16S ribosomal RNA". It matches the Rfam family "Bacterial small subunit ribosomal RNA", at positions 524 to 776 of the family's 1533-position model. The record is from RNAcentral.